This 465-nucleotide ribosomal RNA is filed under the name uncultured bacterium. RNAcentral describes it as "partial 16S ribosomal RNA". It matches the Rfam family "Bacterial small subunit ribosomal RNA", at positions 28 to 507 of the family's 1533-position model. The record is from RNAcentral.
GACGAACGCUGGCGGCGUGCUUAACACAUGCAAGUCGAACGGAAAGGCCCCUUUGGGGGUACUCGAGUGGCGAACGGGUGAGUAACACGUGAGUAACCUGCCCUUGACUUCGGGAUAACUUCAGGAAACUGGGGCUAAUACCGGAUAGGAAUCCUUGCUGCAUGGUGGGGGUUGGAAAGCUUCGGCGGUUUUGGAUGGACUCGCGGCUUAUCAGCUUGUUGGUGGGGUAGUGGCUUACCAAGGCUUUGACGGGUAGCCGGCCUGAGAGGGCGACCGGCCACAUUGGGACUGAGAUACGGCCCAGACUCCUACGGGAGGCAGCAGUGGCGAAUAUUGCACAAUGGGCGGAAGCCUGAUGCAGCAACGCCGCGGGCGGGAUGACGGCCUUCGGGUUGUAAACCGCUUUCAGCAGGGGCGAAGCUUGUGGUGACGGUACCUGCAGAAGAAGCACCGGCUAACUACGUG